GCAGUCGAGCGAGUCUGCCUUGAAGAUCGGAGUGCUUGCACUCUGUGAAACAAGAUACAGGCUAGCGGCGGACGGGUGAGUAACACGUGGGUAACCUGCCCAAGAGAUCGGGAUAACACCUGGAAACAGAUGCUAAUACCGGAUAACAACAGAUGAUGCCUAUCAACUGUUUAAAAGAUGGUUCUGCUAUCACUCUUGGACGGACCUGCGGUGCAUUAGCUAGUUGGUAGGGUAACGGCCUACCAAGGCGAUGAUGCAUAGCCGAGUUGAGAGACUGAUCGGCCACAUUGGGACUGAGACACGGCCCAAACUCCUACGGGAGGCAGCAGUAGGGAAUCUUCCACAAUGGACGCAAGUCUGAUGGAGCAACGCCGCGUGAGUGAAGAAGGGUUUCGGCUCGUAAAGCUCUGUUGUUGGUGAAGAAGGACAGGGGUAGUAACUGACCUUUGUUUGACGGUAAUCAAUUAGAAAGUCACGGCUAACUACGUGCCAGCAGCCGCGGUAAUACGUAGGUGGCAAGCGUUGUCCGGAUUUAUUGGGCGUAAAGCGAGUGCAGGCGGCUCGAUAAGUCUGAUGUGAAAGCCUUCGGCUCAACCGGAGAAUUGCAUCAGAAACUGUCGAGCUUGAGUACAGAAGAGGAGAGUGGAACUCCAUGUGUAGCGGUGAAAUGCGUAGAUAUAUGGAAGAACACCGGUGGCGAAGGCGGCUCUCUGGUCUGUUACUGACGCUGAGGCUCGAAAGCAUGGGUAGCGAACAGGAUUAGAUACCCUGGUAGUCCAUGCCGUANACGAUGAGUGCUAAGUGUUGGGAGGUUUCCGCCUCUCAGUGCUGCAGCUAACGCAUUAAGCACUCCGCCUGGGGAGUACGACCCGCAGGUUGAAACUCAAAGGAAUUGACGGGGGCCCGCACAAGCGGUGGAGCAUGUGGUUUAAUU
Molecule: ribosomal RNA, 934 nt
Filed under: uncultured bacterium
Lineage: Bacteria
Description: bacterial SSU rRNA
Rfam family: Bacterial small subunit ribosomal RNA
Source: RNAcentral